RNAcentral lists this ribosomal RNA (467 nucleotides) under uncultured bacterium. Its description in RNAcentral is "partial 16S ribosomal RNA". It matches the Rfam family "Bacterial small subunit ribosomal RNA", at positions 28 to 507 of the family's 1533-position model. The record is from RNAcentral.
GGUGAACGCUGGCGGCGCGCCUAACACAUGCAAGUCGAACGAUUAAAGCACCUUCGGGUGUGUAUAAAGUGGCGAACGGCUGAGUAACACGUGGGCAACCUGCCCCUUUCAUUGGGAUAGCCACGGGAAACCGUGGAUAAUACCGAAUACUUCGAGACUUCCGCAUGGAAGACUCGAGAAAGCUCCGGCGGAGAGGGAUGGGCCCGCGGCCUGUUAGCUUGUUGGUGGGGUAACGGCCUACCAAGGCAAUGAUGGGUAGCUGGGUUGAGAGACCGACCAGCCAGACUGGGACUGAGACACGGCCCAGACUCCUACGGGAGGCAGCAGUGGGGAAUCUUGCACAAUGGGCGAAAGCCUGAUGCAGCGACGCCGCGUGCGGGAUGAAGGCCUUCGGGUUGUAAACCGCUUUCAGCAGGGACGAGGCGAAAGUGACGGUACCUGCAGAAGAAGCCCCGGCUAACUACGUG